GUUUAAUUCCCGUCAAUAUGUAGGUGUAGCAAACUCCAUACCGAAAAGAAGCUGCUAUUAUAUAUAUAAUCGGAUUGGAAGUCCCUCUUAGGAUGAUCACGGGCGCUGUUUAUUGAAGACAAAUGAAAUUUUGUUCCUAAAUCUGCAAGUAGAUGCUAUAAAAAAUAUGGUACGCAAACCACGACUCUUCAAAAGGGGCUUUACCCCUUCUUUACCUCUCUUUUGUCCUUGAACAGGAAUAAGUAAUAAGCAGUAAUGAUGCGCUGCGUAUAUCCACUGCGAAAUGUGACAGAAAAAUGAAAGGAGUGAUCAGUUUAUUAUUUAUUUAUUUAUAAACGACAGU
Long non-coding RNA from Zophobas morio, 343 nucleotides. RefSeq lists it as uncharacterized. The transcript has 3 exons. NCBI's taxonomy places the organism in Eukaryota, Metazoa, Arthropoda, Insecta, Coleoptera, Tenebrionidae. The record is from RefSeq and is a predicted model, not a curated record.